CAUGCUUCGAGGCACGAGUCGCGACCCGUGCGCGCGCGAGAGCGGCGUGGGGGUGGGGGAUAUUUAACCGGCCGGGCGCGACGCUGGAGGAGUGUGCGAAAGGGAGUGUGUUGUGUGUGGGUAGAGGAAGGCGUGUCGAGAGGUGGCUUUCCGUGACCAUCACGUCAACUUCAUCGCUGCCAUGACUUUAUCGUCGUUCUACUAUGACCCGCCCGAGUAGCUGUCGGACUGGCCGCGCUUGUUCUUGCGUGCAGAGUUCCCGUGCCGCCACGACUACUCCUUCUUGCACGACCUGGAGUGGCUGAAGCCGCGGUGGUAGUACCUGCCGUAGCCGCUGAAGGAGCCGUUCCCGCAGUGGACGGUCGAAUAGUCGAGGUGGGAGUAGCUGGUGCUGUUGCCGCCCGCGCCCUUCCACCCGCGCCUCCGCCUCGACCUCGUCACCCACUGCUCGGACGGCAGCGACUGCUGCCCCCUCAGGUUCAAGCCGGAGUGGAAGCUGACCCUCCACCUCUUCGACCCCCACGGGCCGCGGUAGCAGCAGUUGUUGAUGGUGUCGAGGCUCAAGGACGAGUUCUGCCAGUGGGAGGUGCUGCAGGGGCCGGCGCCGUUGGAGAGGAAGCAGCGGUUGAGGACCUAGAUGGGGCGGCGGUGGAUGUGGAUGUCGGCGCAGAAGAAGCGGUUGCUAUGCAUGGACGGCUCGGUCUACGGCCGCCGCGACUUCGGCAUGGCGCUGCUGCUCGAGGCCUUGGACGCCCCGCUGCUAGCCGUCCCCGGGAUGGUCCUCGUGCUGGCGCAGAUGGCGAUGCUGCAGAUGUUGCUGGAGCCGCUCCCGGCGGGCCAGGAGCCGCCGUCGCGGCUCGUGGGAAUGGGCGCCGCGCCGGCGUGCCCGGCGUUCGGGUUGCGGUCGCUGGGCUCGGACCUCUCGGCCGACAGCGACGACCUCGUCUAGAUGCACGGCGCCCUGCUCUUCAAGCCGGUGGAGUUCUGCAGGCUGAAGGACCCGAUGAGGUAGUUCCGGUAGUGCGUCCCGUAGGACGGCCGCCACGCGUGGAUGCAGCUGUGGUGGGGGCCGCUCAAGCUGAGGAAGGUCCUGUAGUACUUGGAGAUGCUCCCGCCGUAGUUCGACGGGUACCACGGGCGGGAGCUCCUCGACGCGUUCGUCAAGGGCGAGGUCGAGUAGUUCCUGGACGAGGGGCACCCGCCGCUGAGCGACGACUUCGAGGGACACGGUGUAUAGUAGGUCCGCCUGGUCGUCCGCACCUCCUGGCUGCUCCUCAAGCGCGCGCUCCACGAGCGGCCGCAGUUGGGCCAGUACUAGUGCGCAGAGUGCCUCAAGGGCGGUUUUUCAUCAGAACUGGGAUCGUUCAAACCACUGGUGUGGUCGUGGUAGUGCCGCCGUGUGUAGGUCUUCUUGGAGCUCCCGGAGUGGCACGUCGUCCGCGACCUUUCAUUGUCCGAGAUGUAUGAACUAGUGGUGCUGGCCAAGUACGGCAAGGACUAGCUUCAGUUGUUGGACGGGCCGUUGAAGUAGAUGCGGUGGUCCUGGGAGAAGAAGGACGCGCCGCUGCCGUCCGAGUGCGGCGAGCGGUAGCUCGACUCGCUCGGGCAGUAGGACCCGCCGGAGUGGUGGCGGUUCUCGUUCCACAUGUGCGGCCACGGCUCGCCGUCGCAGCUUCCGACCCACACCCUCAAGCGGUUCCGGAUGCAGCGGCAGUUGCUGAGGCCGACCGUGGUCGAGCAGUCGGUGACCGACUUGUGGGUGCGCCACUACCUCGGCAAACACUAGAGCUGCUUGGCCGUGGAGUCGCACUGCGUGGGCCACGUGUUCGACGACUCGGGCGUGAUGGCGCUGUGGUACUGGUAGUUGCGCGACCGCGCCGUCUGCGAGUAGUUGCGGCCGCCGUAGAAGCUCUACUGCCACAAGGGCCCGUUCAAACGCGACCCCUACAGCAGCCACCACAUGUUCCUGACCUUCAAGUGGCUCGUCCCGGACGGGCUGCUAGAGUAGUUCUCCCCGUACCGCCACCUCCUGGAUAGCUCGGGAAUGUUCCACGCCGAAGACCACAGCCUGAUGGGCAUGCGCCGCCUGCCCGACCGCUAGACCGUGCGGUAGCUCGUCAUGCACCCGCUCAUGGACCGGUAGAUGAUGGGCCUGCUGCCGCACGACGCCCCGCUGUGCCUCGACGUCCGCACCACCUUCCUCCGCGCGCUCCAGCCCGUGCCGCUGGAGUUCCUGCGCGGCACCACCGGCUCCUACGUCCCGCACCCCCUCGACCGGUUCCGCACGUGGUGGUAGUAGACCUAGCCCAGCCGCGACGUGCGCCGCCAGUUGAAGCCCGUCAUGGGCAUGCGCCCCAAGGAGGGCUUGGCCGGCUGCCACUCGGCCGCGGCGUACGGCCUCGGGCCCUGCCUGCGCAUGCGCCUCGACCUCGCGCUGGGCCUCGCCCGGAAGUAGGUGUGGUAGUGGUCGGUCUAGGUCUGGUAGUAGCCGUAGAGCGACAACCUCCACGACAGGUUUGUGAGGAGACUGCUCGAGAUGGACCCCGUCGCGCUGUGCGGCCUCACCUGGAGCCUGGGGUUCCGGGACCUCCACAAGUUCGCCAAGUCGCUCGCCGACCACCUCUAGCUCUCGUUCCACCACCCGUACUUGGUGCUGGGCGUCGACAACUUGGCGUUGCCGGGCCGGUUCGAGGGGAUGUACGACGAGAUGGGGUUGUGGAGGCUGGUGUUCCCGCGGCGGCGGCCGGAGUGGCGGUUCCCGUAGGGGUUGUCGUAGAGGUAGACUCGUACCAUGUAGCCUCGAAGCAGAGCAGGUGCGGUUGGUGCCACGCACGCGCAGGCUUAUUUCUCGCACGCUGAGCAAGUGGUGCAUGCCCUUGCACAGCUCUCUGAUCACGUCACACACACUGUGACACACACUCGAACACAGUCGUUAACAAGCUAGUGCCACAAAAAAUAAACACACAACGACAACCGGCACACGUAGAAUCAAUACGUAUCCGACCUACACGAAUAUUUUUUUUAAUCGUUAUUUAUUUCGUAAAUCCAAAGGUGCCUUUGGCACAGUAGUAUUU
RNAcentral lists this ribosomal RNA (3074 nucleotides) under Triticum aestivum (bread wheat). RNAcentral's name for it is "partial small subunit ribosomal RNA". Lineage: Eukaryota; Viridiplantae; Streptophyta; Magnoliopsida; Poales; Poaceae. The record is from RNAcentral.